This 478-nucleotide ribosomal RNA is filed under the name uncultured bacterium. RNAcentral's name for it is "partial 16S ribosomal RNA". It matches the Rfam family "Bacterial small subunit ribosomal RNA", at positions 28 to 523 of the family's 1533-position model. The record is from RNAcentral.
GACGAACGCUGGCGGCGUGCUUAACACAUGCAAGUCGAGCGAUGAAGCUCCUUCGGGAGUGGAUUAGCGGCGGACGGGUGAGUAACACGUGGGCAACCUGCCUCAUAGAGGGGAAUAGCCUUUCGAAAGGAAGAUUAAUACCGCAUAAGAUUGUAGUAUCGCAUGAUACAGCAAUUAAAGGAGUAAUCCGCUAUGAGAUGGACCCGCGUCGCAUUAGCUAGUUGGUGAGGUAACGGCUUACCAAGGCGACGAUGCGUAGCCGACCUGAGAGGGUGAUCGGCCACAUUGGGACUGAGACACGGCCCAGACUCCUACGGGAGGCAGCAGUGGGGAAUAUUGCACAAUGGGGGAAACCCUGAUGCAGCAACGCCGCGUGAGUGAUGACGGUCUUCGGAUUGUAAAACUCUGUCUUCAGGGACGAUAAUGACGGUACCUGAGGAGGAAGCCACGGCUAACUACGUGCCAGCCGCCGCCGUAA